GUCCUCUUGAUUAUAUUUUGAGGUCUGGCCUGCUCACUGACAAGUUUUUAAAGAGCCGCGGUAUUUUGACCGUGCAAAGGUAGCAUAAUCAUUAGUCUCUUAAUUAGGGGCUGGAAUGAAUGGCUUGACGAGAAAUUAACUGUCUCUUAUUAAAUUAUAGAAUUUAACUUUUGAGUUAAAAGGCUUAAAUUUUUCUUAAAGACGAGAAGACCCUAUAGAGCUUGACAUUUUAUUUUUAUAUAAUUUUUAGAUAAUCUUUUUAUAUUUAAAGAUAAUGUUUUGUUGGGGUGACAUGAAGAAUAAAUAAACUCUUCAUUAUAAAAUCAUUGAUUUAUGUUUAUUUUGAUCCAUAAUUUAUGAUCAUAAGAUUAAGUUACCUUAGGGAUAACAGCGUAAUUGUUUUUGAGAGCUCAUAUUGACAAAGCAGAUUGCGACCUCGAUGUUGGAUUAAGAAUAAUUUUGGGUGCAGGAGCCCAAUAAUUAGUCUGUUCGACCUUUAAU
Molecule: ribosomal RNA, 501 nt
Filed under: Melanoplus differentialis (differential grasshopper)
Lineage: Eukaryota; Metazoa; Arthropoda; Insecta; Orthoptera; Acrididae
Description: partial 16S ribosomal RNA
Rfam family: Archaeal large subunit ribosomal RNA
Source: RNAcentral